UCAUCCUAUCCCCCAUUAAUGUUUUUUUUUUCUCAGAUCAUUUUACUUUUUUGAAUCUGGUAUCUUAUUUUCUAUACCUGCAGCUCUUGGUGUGCAGCAGCCUCUGUGAGCAUAUCCCUCUUAUUUUCUUGGAGCAGUCAGCCUUGGCAGAUCAACUCCAGUAUCAGCAGCAGAAACAACAACAACAGCAAA
Long non-coding RNA from Rhinichthys klamathensis goyatoka, 192 nucleotides. RefSeq lists it as uncharacterized. Lineage: Eukaryota; Metazoa; Chordata; Actinopteri; Cypriniformes; Leuciscidae. The transcript has 2 exons. The record is from RefSeq and is a predicted model, not a curated record.